GACAGAGGCCUCGAGCGUUAGGCGGAAUCACUGGGCUUAAAGCGUGUGUAGGCGGGCCCGUAAGUGUCUUGUGAAAUCCCACGGCUCAACCGUGGAACUGCUGGGCAUACUGCGGGUCUUGGGCCAACUAGGGGCAGCCGGAACAAGCGGUGGAGCGGUGAAAUGCGUAGAUAUCGUAAGGAAGACCAGUGGCGAAGGCGAAUCUCUGGACAGUUACUGACACUGAGGCACGAAGGCCAGGGGAGCAAACGGG
RNAcentral lists this ribosomal RNA (253 nucleotides) under uncultured bacterium. RNAcentral describes it as "partial 16S ribosomal RNA". It matches the Rfam family "Bacterial small subunit ribosomal RNA", at positions 524 to 776 of the family's 1533-position model. The record is from RNAcentral.